Molecule: transfer RNA, 74 nt
Filed under: Sporothrix schenckii ATCC 58251
Lineage: Eukaryota; Fungi; Ascomycota; Sordariomycetes; Ophiostomatales; Ophiostomataceae
Description: tRNA-Asn (GTT) (tRNA-Asn-GTT-1-1)
Rfam family: tRNA
About the family: Transfer RNA (tRNA) molecules are approximately 80 nucleotides in length. Their secondary structure includes four short double-helical elements and three loops (D, anti-codon, and T loops).
Source: RNAcentral
UCCCUUGUGGCGCAAUUGGCUAGCGCGUUAGACUGUUAAUCUAAAGGUUGGUGGUUCGAGCCCACCCAAGGGAG